RNAcentral lists this long non-coding RNA (1013 nucleotides) under Phascolarctos cinereus (koala). RNAcentral's name for it is "lncRNA (ENSPCIG00000015748.2)". The record is from RNAcentral. Lineage: Eukaryota; Metazoa; Chordata; Mammalia; Diprotodontia; Phascolarctidae.
CAGAUUAUCCGGAAGGAUGGCUCCGUGCGCAGGUCCUGGGGCCGGGGUCCUAGGGCGGUGGUCACAGGGCUGAGACUAAAAACAAACCCUGAGAAGUAGUCGCCCAGGCCCCGAGCCCCAGGAUUUCCGGCCUGCGACGUGAGGCCAUGCUGGAGCACGAAGGAUGGUGGUCAGACAGGACAGACACUGGCUCUGAACAGGACCUCCCUCUUCCCUCCUCCCCCACCUCGGACUCGGGAGUUCCUGCUGUCCCCCUUCCCGAUGACCGGUGACGCACAUCCCCUCCUCUUCCCGAGUCCAUUUAUAAGCCCCCGCCGGCCGGCAGGCGCCCAGAGGGGAGUGGAACAGCCCAGGGCCAGUGUGGCCACUGUGGAGGCGUCGGGGGGUGCGCUGGGGGGGGUGGAGAGAGGAUUCCACAAAUGCUGGAAAAGUCCCUGCUCUGACCUUUAGCGCCAGCCAGCCAAUGAGAAGGGGGAAACGCUUAGUGGGCUGGACCACAGAGGGCUAGGGUAGUUAACUCGUUAACGCGACGAAACAACCUCGACCCAUUCAUCGCAAUUUUCCAACUUCCAAUGGAAGAUCUGUUUGGAUGUUAUUUUAUUUUGUUCCCCAGUCUAACACAGUACCUGACACACAGCUGCAAUGAAGACAAUGUUAUAGUUGGAACCAAUGCCAGGAUGGAAGGAGGAAGAAGUGACCCUCAAAGGGAAGGGCCAUGUCCAGGUAAUUGCAACAAUUUCUAUGUUUUAAUACUAUGUUUCAUCUCCCAGAUUACAGCUCUGGGAGAGCUCAUAAUGAAGUUUCAUUGGUACCUCAGAGAAACCAGGGCUACUGUGGGAGAGCAGAUCAGGCUUGGAGAGGCCAGAGCGGAUCUACAGGGGCCUGCUAAAAAGUUAGUGGCUCCAGGGGCAGCUAGGUGGCAUAGUGGAUAGAACACCAAUCCUGGAGUCAGGAGGAUCUGAGUUCAAAUGUGGCCUCAGACACUUGACCCUAGCAUAAAAAAAAAAAAAAGG